Molecule: ribosomal RNA, 442 nt
Filed under: uncultured bacterium
Lineage: Bacteria
Description: partial 16S ribosomal RNA
Rfam family: Bacterial small subunit ribosomal RNA
Source: RNAcentral
CCUACGGGGGGCAGCAGUGGGGGAUAUUGGACAAUGGGGGAAACCCUGAUCCAGCGACGCCGCGUGGGUGAAGAAGUGUCUCGGUAUGUAAAGCUCUAUCAGCAGGGAAGAAGAAAUGACGAUACCUGGAUAAGAAGCCCCGGCUAACUACGUGACAGCCGCCGCGGUAAUACGUAGGGGGCAAGCGUUAUCCGGAAUUACUGGGUGUAAAGGGAGCGUAGACGGUGAUGUAAGGCUGGAGUGAAAGGCGGGGGCCCAACCCCCGGACUGCUCUGGAAACUAUGUGACUGGAGUGCAGGAGAGGUGAGCGGAAUUCCUAGUGUAGCGGUGAAAUGCGUAGAUAUUAGGAGGAACACCAGGGGCGAAGGCGGCUUACUGGACUGUAACUGACGUUGAGGCUCGAAAGCGUGGGGAGCAAACAGGAUUAGAUACCCGUGUAGUC